UCUGUGAGUUCUGCAGAAGAAGAAGAAAGAAAACAGAUAAAGAAGAAGAAGAAAGUUGAAG
Molecule: small RNA, 61 nt
Filed under: Arabidopsis thaliana (thale cress)
Lineage: Eukaryota; Viridiplantae; Streptophyta; Magnoliopsida; Brassicales; Brassicaceae
Description: ATSL148290
Source: RNAcentral